GUUUUGCCUGCAAGUAGCCUCUCAAAACAAGCUGCAUAAACACCCUUUUAAGUCCUGCAAUGCCUCCUGAGAGCUGUAUUAACAAUAGCCCGGGACAGCAGGGAGGAGGAUGUUGAAAGCCCUUUUUACACCACUUUACACUACUGGAAUCCAGAGAUUGAUCCUUGUAAAGAAGAUAUAUGGGAGAGCUGAGUGCAAGUUUCUCAUGCGUCCAAGGUUUUCACCGAGGCUGAAGAAUUGGCCUGAACAUGAAGAAAGAUUCUGAAGCAAGCUUAUUUUUAGAUCUGCUUGUACAGCCUACAAGCUAACUAAAUUCAAACUUUAAAAGAGUUCUAUAAAACUAGUAAAGCUGAGUAUAGAGAUUUUAGUUCUGCUGUUCUGUUCCAGUAAUUUUUAAUGAAACUCGAGACCAGGUAAUUUACAGUAAAAGAACACUAGAUCUGAGAAGAAUGAAAAAAUAAUUCCCUAUAAUUGUAUCAAACUUAGCUGACAGUCUUAUUAUUCAUUGUCCAAUUGAUUAAAUCAAAGAUAAAGAAUAAUUGUAUCAUUUAGGUUGUUUCUGAGGAAAGGUCUAGACUAUUUUGGUCUAAAUAUUUCCCGAAUUAUAUGUAGUGUAGUUGUGGGGAAAAGGCUCCAAGUUCCUCCAGGCUGUUCAGAACAUGCUUGAUUCUUCUUUAGUUACUCUAUCACACGACGAAUCAGCUGCUUUCCAGACGUAAUUUGAUCUUGGAAAAGUUAAGCAACCAGUUGAAAAUAGCACAGUGUCUUUGGCAGGCCAGGCUGGCUUCAGCUGGAUUUGGAUAUAGCCCAAACUCCCAUCCAGAAGACCCAAAGUGUGUAAAUCACUUAUGGAGUCCCAGUCGCAAGAACUCUG
Molecule: long non-coding RNA, 874 nt
Filed under: Junco hyemalis (dark-eyed junco)
Lineage: Eukaryota; Metazoa; Chordata; Aves; Passeriformes; Passerellidae
Description: lncRNA (ENSJHYG00000004872.1)
Source: RNAcentral